GGUAUUAUACUUUAUAUAGAAGAUAUGAUUUGCACUCAUAAAGAAAGACUAAACCUUUUAUACCA
This 65-nucleotide transfer RNA is filed under the name Rossia macrosoma. RNAcentral's name for it is "tRNA-Ala". Lineage: Eukaryota; Metazoa; Mollusca; Cephalopoda; Sepiida; Sepiolidae. The record is from RNAcentral.